AUUGAACGCUGGCGGCAGGCCUAACACAUGCAAGUCGAGCGGUAGCACAGAGAGCUUGCUCUCGGGUGACGAGCGGCGGACGGGUGAGUAAUGUCUGGGAAACUGCCUGAUGGAGGGGGAUAACUACUGGAAACGGUAGCUAAUACCGCAUAACGUCGCAAGACCAAAGUGGGGGACCUUCGGGCCUCAUGCCAUCAGAUGUGCCCAGAUGGGAUUAGCUAGUAGGUGGGGUAAUGGCUCACCUAGGCGACGAUCCCUAGCUGGUCUGAGAGGAUGACCAGCCACACUGGAACUGAGACACGGUCCAGACUCCUACGGGAGGCAGCAGUGGGGAAUAUUGCACAAUGGGCGCAAGCCUGAUGCAGCCAUGCCGCGUGUGUGAAGAAGGCCUUCGGGUUGUAAAGCACUUUCAGCGGGGAGGAAGGCGAUAAGGUUAAUAACCUUGUCGAUUGACGUUACCCGCAGAAGAAGCACCGGCUAACUCCGUGCCAGCAGCCGCGGUAAUACGGAGGGUGCAAGCGUUAAUCGGAAUUACUGGGCGUAAAGCGCACGCAGGCGGUCUGUCAAGUCGGAUGUGAAAUCCCCGGGCUCAACCUGGGAACUGCAUUCGAAACUGGCAGGCUAGAGUCUUGUAGAGGGGGGUAGAAUUCCAGGUGUAGCGGUGAAAUGCGUAGAGAUCUGGAGGAAUACCGGUGGCGAAGGCGGCCCCCUGGACAAAGACUGACGCUCAGGUGCGAAAGCGUGGGGAGCAAACAGGAUUAGAUACCCUGGUAGUCCACGCCGUAAACGAUGUCGAUUUGGAGGUUGUGCCCUUGAGGCGUGGCUUCCGGAGCUAACGCGUUAAAUCGACCGCCUGGGGAGUACGGCCGCAAGGUUAAAACUCAAAUGAAUUGACGGGGGCCCGCACAAGCGGUGGAGCAUGUGGUUUAAUUCGAUGCAACGCGAAGAACCUUACCUGGUCUUGACAUCCACAGAACUUUCCAGAGAUGGAUUGGUGCCUUCGGGAACUGUGAGACAGGUGCUGCAUGGCUGUCGUCAGCUCGUGUUGUGAAAUGUUGGGUUAAGUCCCGCAACGAGCGCAACCCUUAUCCUUUGUUGCCAGCGGUCCGGCCGGGAACUCAAAGGAGACUGCCAGUGAUAAACUGGAGGAAGGUGGGGAUGACGUCAAGUCAUCAUGGCCCUUACGAGUAGGGCUACACACGUGCUACAAUGGCAUAUACAAAGAGAAGCGACCUCGCGAGAGCAAGCGGACCUCAUAAAGUAUGUCGUAGUCCGGAUUGGAGUCUGCAACUCGACUCCAUGAAGUCGGAAUCGCUAGUAAUCGUGGAUCAGAAUGCCACGGUGAAUACGUUCCCGGGCCUUGUACACACCGCCCGUCACACCAUGGGAGUGGGUUGCAAAAGAAGUAGGUAGCUUAACCUUCGGGAGGGCGCUUACCACUUUGUGAUUCAUGACUGGGGUGA
This 1463-nucleotide ribosomal RNA is filed under the name uncultured Klebsiella sp. RNAcentral's name for it is "bacterial SSU rRNA". It matches the Rfam family "Bacterial small subunit ribosomal RNA". Lineage: Bacteria; Pseudomonadati; Pseudomonadota; Gammaproteobacteria; Enterobacterales; Enterobacteriaceae. The record is from RNAcentral.